RNAcentral lists this ribosomal RNA (253 nucleotides) under uncultured bacterium. RNAcentral describes it as "partial 16S ribosomal RNA". It matches the Rfam family "Bacterial small subunit ribosomal RNA", at positions 526 to 779 of the family's 1533-position model. The record is from RNAcentral.
CGUAGGGGCUAGCGUUGUCCGGAAUCAUUGGGCGUAAAGCGCGCGUAGGCGGCCCGGUAAGUCCGUUGUAAAAGUCAAAGGCUCAACCUUUGAAUGCCGAUGGAUACUGCCGGGCUAGAGUCCGGAAGAGGCGAGUAGAAUUCCUGGUGUAGCGGUGGAAUGCGCAGAUAUCAGGAGGAAUACCCAUAGCGAAGGCAGCUCGCUGGGACGGUACUGACGCUGAGGCGCGAAAGCGUGGGGAGCGAACAGGAUU